Molecule: long non-coding RNA, 1141 nt
Organism: Apis laboriosa (Himalayan honeybee)
Lineage: Eukaryota; Metazoa; Arthropoda; Insecta; Hymenoptera; Apidae
Exons: 3
Source: RefSeq, a predicted model, not a curated record
AUUAACUCGAAGUGACAUCUACUGUCGAUAAUACGUUCGAGAAUUCUUCCAUCUCUCGCUCUCUGAUUCGCUCACCUCUCUCCACGUGCACCAAGGGCUGAACGCGUACGUGCCGCAAGUGAACAGACUUUUUCCAUUGGUAUUGGUCUUGUUUUCGGGCGCUGGCCACGAGGCGUGUUCGAGAGGCGACAACGACGUUAGAGUCAACCGGUACAGAUUAUCUCUGGAAUCGGAAUCGUUUACUGCUUUUCGUGUUUACACGCGUGGGACGGAGGACAUGUGGAAAAUGGCGCGCGCCGCCUUUCGAGCUGUCGCGCAAUCACGCCGCAGGAAACUAGCAUAAACGGCGCCUACGUGGGCGCUACGCCGCGACGAGAACCGACCUGACCAAAAGUGAUCGUUAGUCGAGCGAAGCGGCUCCAGCUCGGUCGUCGAAGACGUGUGCACAUGUAACGAGUAUCGCUUAGAAUCGUACACAUUUAACGAAUAGAGUGAUAUAUUCUUAAAGAUGAAAAUUCUUCGCAAUAUAAUCUUUAAGCAAUAUUCAAGUUUGGUACGUUUAAGGAAACUCCUAAUCUUAUUGCUUUCUUAUUAUUAAAAACUACGCGUUUUCGUUCAAGUUUUAAUCGUUUUGUAAAAUUUUCACGUGUUAUAAAAACGAAUCUCUACACGUAUGAUUUUAAGUGGCAUACACUGUAUGUACGAGCAAUCCUAUUGAGACAGAUUGUUUCCUGUUCGUUAAACGAAUAGGAUGGAUCAUUUGCCAACCUCGUUCUCGUCCGACGUAACUUCUGGGCACGACUCGCGUUUGUUCAACGUCUAAUGGAGUUCGAUGGCCGCGCGCAUACACAGAAUGAAAUUGCGACUCAACUCGAAAUGGGUCGAUUUUUAACCGAUCACAUGUAAUCGUUUAAGGGUUCAGGCUCGAUAGAAUACAGCAUCCUAUUCCCUUCCAUUGCCUUUCUACGAUUCGAUACAUUUUUCGAUGUAAUUCAAUUGCGAAAAUUGUAAAAAAUAUUCGAAUCGAUCGAAACACGAACCUGUUAACUUACACAACGGAAGUGCAACAGGAUCGCAACGGUGUCGCGUCACUCGUGCGCAUCUAUCCCUUAGAGUGAUCUCCAAUCUAUGUCGCUAUUCA